CUAGUAAGUCGGGUGGUUGCGGUACAUUUGUACUGAGGAAAGUCCGAACACCCACUCCUCAAAUUUGAGGUUUAAAAAGAUAGCGGGUAACGCCCGUCGGGAGCAAUCCUAGAGGUGCGAGCAGAGACGUGUCUGACCGAAAGGUUGGACUCCCCGGAAGAUUUUCGGGAUAGCCCUGCAGUAAUGCAGGGGUGAAACGGCUAAAUCCUUAUCGGGUGCAAGAACAAAUCAGAAGUUUGGGAGAAACGACUUGAACUUCUGUGAAAAGUAGUUCGCUUGACCCUGAGAGUAAUCAAAGGGCUAGACAGAUAACCACACACCGAACCUCAUGAAAGGAGGUGAAGGUUAAGAAGAGAAUGAAAAUUCUCUUUGACAAGACAGAAUUCGGCUUACAGGCUUACUAGGACA
Molecule: RNase P RNA, 408 nt
Filed under: bacterium
Lineage: Bacteria
Description: RNase P RNA component class A
Rfam family: Bacterial RNase P class A
About the family: Ribonuclease P (RNase P) is a ubiquitous endoribonuclease, found in archaea, bacteria and eukarya as well as chloroplasts and mitochondria.
Source: RNAcentral